Molecule: non-coding RNA, 1704 nt
Organism: Chelonoidis abingdonii (Abingdon island giant tortoise)
Lineage: Eukaryota; Metazoa; Chordata; Testudines; Testudinidae
Source: RefSeq, a predicted model, not a curated record
CUCCGUGUGAGCUGGAGCUGCCUAGACCAGGGGGGCUGAGCCCUCCAAGAAAGGAGUGUUGGAAAGAAACUGAAGAAAAUCUCAAAGAGAGAUUCUAACAUCAAACUCCUACCCCUUGUAUGAGUUGCUAGUAGCAUUGAGGAGAGUGCCUAAUUAGAGAUGUCCUCCUGCUUCCUCCAUAUCUGCCGCCUGACCCCCUGGACUUGGUCCCAAUCCUCCUCCAGUUGUGGUUGACUAUUGUUUAUUGAAAACCAUCUACAAGCACUAUUUUCUGGACUGUAUAACUGUAUUGUGCCUCUGUUAAGCAAUAUGGAGUGCUACAUGGCCUGGGAAACACAGUGGCCACAACAAUACAUGCCAUGGCACCCAGAUACCACAGUGAUGGGCAUAAUAUAGCAAUGUGACUGGAACAGAACUUUAUCCAAAGAUCAAUACUGUUUUUAAAAAAUCAGCAUAUAAGGAAUGAAGGCCUGAUUGUCUUAUCCAUUUUACACCAGUGUAACUCUACUUCUUUUGUGUGGCAUCUAUGAAGAUAAAGGAGGAUAAGCUCCUUGUAUAAUCCAGUCCUGAUCCUCUUGGAUAAAUCAGUGUCAUCCCCUUGCUCUUGCUUCUCUGAUGAAUGACUGUCCUCAGGACACACUGUACACCCCUUUCAAAGCUUUCACACUGCAGUGUUUGAGCUCUUCAAGCUUACCCUAGGCCCCGGGGACCUCUCAGAGCAUAAGGAUUUCCAGUACCGUGAGGUUUUCAUGCUUGUCCUCAUCUUCAGCAACCUUUCAGAAGUGAAAGCCAUGACCAUACUGGAUCUGGAAAUAAGUUUGCCAGUGUUCUGCAGAAAAUGGCUCCAAAGAAAAAAAAAUUUGCCCCAGUACACUAAUUGGAUAUACCUGAUAAAAAGGAAGGUUCAAGGAGAGAUGUAGUGGGAAAAAGGGAACCUGAAGAAAGCAACACAUCAGUAGAUUAAUCUGAUGUCUGAAGAGAUGUUGGUUUCUUCAGUUCUUGUUGUAUGUAUAUACCCUUGUACUGCAAGUCAGAUUCCUUCUGCUUUUGCUUUGAACUGUAAAGUGGAAAGUUGCAAGUAAAUAUACUAUUUACCUCUCAAAGUAGAUAUAGAUAUUUAUACUCUUCCUUUCUCUUGCAAAUUGUAUUAUGUCAGCACAGAUAAAUAGGAACCUGACUAACUGUUGUGCAAACCAUAUCCUCCUAUAUUUCAUAUCUAUAUUAGCAUAAUGCAUGUUAAUUUUUGGUGAGUGAUUGUUUCUCAGGGAGUUGAUGAUAGAUUCCAUCCAAUAACCAAAACACAAUGAAUGCCGUAAUUUUGGACAUUAUGACAAUUAAGAUAAAACCUAUUUAUCAGUAAAACCAUAUUUCUAUAUCAGUGCUACAGACCAUGUGAUGACUGAAAACUUAUAUCGAGCAACCUGAGUAGCUGUGUUAGUAGCUGUGACAGUCUCUCUCCCAGGCAAGCCCCACAAGAGAAGGAUGCUAUGGGGCAUUCCACCAAGCAGUUGAUGAGCCUCCAAAAGAUCAAUUAGGAUUAGAGAUGGGGAGCAAGCAGUGAAAUCCAACAGAGACUUUUCUGUGUGUUGUUUGGGGGCAGCUAGGAAGCCUCAAUGUCUAGGCUGUUUGUAGUUUUUCCACUGGGAGGUGAGGAAGUUUUUCUUCUUGUGGGCAAAAAUACUCAGUUUAUUUCCUGCUUUUAAC